UGAAGCUUAAAGAAAAUAUGUAAGAUUAGUUGCUGGCCCUGGUCAGGGACUUCAGACCCUGCGCUGACCAACUAAGUGAAGUAGGGUCAGGUUACCGGUGGCACUGAGCCUUGUGCUGUCCAAGUGCAUGGUGGGGAUAAAACAUCACCUGUUUAAUGUUUGGUUAUAAGGGCAGAGCAACAAAGAUGGGGCAGGCAUCUAGAACGGUAGUCAGUACUCUCACAAUACUACACAGAAGCAGCCAAGAGGGUGUCCUUUUCUGUGAGCAUUUGGUACAAGUUUGUCUCUUUCCUUGACAGAAGAGCUAAGGGCACAGAUGUGAACUGGUGCCCAGUGCCUUCCAGUAAGUCUUCCAGCCGGUCACCCCUCACAGCCUUGAGAAACACGUGAGGCCGCUUUCAAGAGUUACAUCAUGCAGGGCACCCCACCCUCUGAGAACAAACUCACCCCUGACCAGCCGUGGGGCAGGAACUGGCCUUCAGCCCAGUAUUUGCCAUUGACGAAGAAGAGGCCUGCGAUCAUGAUGAACACCCACACUGCCAGGUUCAGCACAUUGAGGACGUUGUUGAAGCCCACGGAGUUCUUCACACCCAGAGCCACAAUGAUGGUCACAAUGACCGCAAUCACCAGAGCCAGAAGGUCUGGGUAUGAUUCCUCCCCUUUCCCUAGAGGAGGAAGACAUGGUUAAUAUUGUCUAAGGAGGAGAAGGUGCCCCGUAGACUCAUUCUGCCUCUUCGAACCUGGGUGGUUACAACCCUUAGAGUGGUGAUUAGUCUGUCAGAAAGAGCGGUGAAGGCUGCCUGUCUGUCUUUCUCUCUCUGUACACACAACACGCCAUUGUCAUGGUCCAUAAGCAGAUAUAAAUGUUUAUCUGCAAAUGAGGAAGUUUGGGACACAGCUAAGAUGGCCUCGAGUCGUGCCGUAGAUCAAAAUUCAGGACACGUAACAGUCACAGUGUACCCGUGUAGGCAUGGGAAGCGCAUGUAGUCAGGAGCAUCUUGGGACAUUUGAAACACAUAGAUAGGUCUAACGUAUUUGAAAACUCCUUUGCCUUCAUUAUUGUAAGCUUUGUGAUCUGUAUGAUUUCUAUCUCAUUCCCACAAUCUCUGCUUUAUUAGCACGUAUUAAAAUGUGCGUAUUUGAAAGCCAUUCUGGUGGUUUCUCGUUUGCAGUGUGGGGUUGCAGAGAGAAAAUGCCAGGGGCCCGGGUCCUGCUGAUGCUUGGGUCCUGGUGGCUCAGACCAUCCAUUGCCCAGUGGACUCCUGCCCUCUACAGAGAGGAAGACGCAUUGCCUCAGCAGCCAGGGAGCCUGGAUUCCUGCUGCACUUUUGCAGGCAGCCCACCGUGAGGCCUUGGGCACAGUGCCUCAUCUGCAAAGUCUCAAAUGACCACAUAAGCACUGUACUGCUGAACUCCAUCCCUAACUGUCUUGGGAAAUUCUGAGGCAAGACUGCAAAGCUUCAACUAUCAGUAUGAAUCCUGUGGAUAUGGAAGGAUGUAUCAGGUAUCAGGACGGAAGCGGUGGCAAGUCACAGCUGGUCUGUCUCCUGGUACUUGUUAGAUGACCUUUGACCACUCAGCCCUUGCUCAGUAAUAGGAUGCCCUGCGGAAGUUGGUUGAACCGGAAUCCAUUUUGUUCCUUAAAAUUGUUUAUUUGGAAAAGAAAACAUUCAUUUAUUAAAAUAUAAUUUAUAAAAAAAUUACAAGGAAAA
Non-coding RNA from Rattus norvegicus (Norway rat), 1712 nucleotides. Lineage: Eukaryota; Metazoa; Chordata; Mammalia; Rodentia; Muridae. The record is from RefSeq and is a predicted model, not a curated record.